This 255-nucleotide ribosomal RNA is filed under the name uncultured bacterium. RNAcentral describes it as "partial 16S ribosomal RNA". It matches the Rfam family "Bacterial small subunit ribosomal RNA", at positions 524 to 776 of the family's 1533-position model. The record is from RNAcentral.
UACGAAGGGGGCUAGCGUUGCUCGGAAUCACUGGGCGUAAAGGGUGCGUAGGCGGCCCUGUAAGUCAGUGCUGAAAUACCCCGGCUUAACCGGGGGGGUGGGCAUUGAUACUGCAGGGCUUGAGUACAGAUGAGGUAGGCGGAAUUGACGGUGUAGCGGUGAAAUGCGUAGAUAUGUGGAGGAACACCAGUGGCGAAGGCGACUUUCUGGGCUGUAACUGACGCUGAGGCGCGAAAGCGUGGGGGAGCAAACAGG